UAGGGAAUCUUCGGCAAUGGGGGGAACCCUGACCGAGCAACGCCGCGUGAGUGAAGAAGGUUUUCGGAUCGUAAAGCUCUGUUGUUAAGGAAGAACGAGUGUGAGAAUGGAAAGUUCAUGCUGUGACGGUACUUAACCAGAAAGGGACGGCUAACUACGUGCCAGCAGCCGCGGUAAUACGUAGGUCCCGAGCGUUGUCCGGAUUUAUUGGGCGUAAAGCGAGCGCAGGCGGUUAGAAAAGUCUGAAGUGAAAGGCAGUGGCUCAACCAUUGUAGGCUUUGGAAACUGUUUAACUUGAGUGCAGAAAGGGAGAGUGGAGUUCCAUGUGUAGCGGUGAGAUGCGUAGAUAUAUGGAGGAACACCGGUGGCGAAGGCGGCUCUCUGGUCUGUAACUGACGCUGAGGCUCGAAAGCGUGGGGAGCGAACAGG
This 429-nucleotide ribosomal RNA is filed under the name Verrucomicrobiota bacterium. RNAcentral's name for it is "Verrucomicrobia bacterium partial 16S ribosomal RNA". It matches the Rfam family "Bacterial small subunit ribosomal RNA", at positions 355 to 776 of the family's 1533-position model. Lineage: Bacteria; Pseudomonadati; Verrucomicrobiota. The record is from RNAcentral.